Molecule: ribosomal RNA, 253 nt
Filed under: uncultured bacterium
Lineage: Bacteria
Description: partial 16S ribosomal RNA
Rfam family: Bacterial small subunit ribosomal RNA
Source: RNAcentral
UACGUAGGGUGCGAGCGUUAAUCGGAAUUACUGGGCGUAAAGCGUGCGCAGGCGGUUCGUUGUGUCCGUCGUGAAAGCCCCGGGCUUAACCUGGGAACUGCGAUGGAAACUAGCGAGCUGGAGUGUGGCAGAGGGGGGUGGAAUUCCGCGUGUAGCAGUGAAAUGCGUAGAGAUCGGGAGGAACACCGGCGGCGAAGGCGGCUGCCUGGACCGGCCCUGACGCUGAGGCGCGAGAGCUAGGGGAGCAAACAGG